UACGAAGGGGGCUAGCGUUGUUCGAAAUUACUGGGCGUAAAGCGCACGUAGGCGGAUCCUUAAGUCAGGGGUGAAAUCCCGAGGCUCAACCUCGGAACUGCCUUUGAUACUGGGGAUAUCGAGUCCGGGAGAGGUGAGUGGAACUGCGAGUGUAGAGGUGAAAUUCGUAGAUAUUCGCAAGAACACCAGUGGCGAAGGCGGCUCACUGGCCCGGUACUGACGCUGAGGUGCGAAAGCGUGGGGAGCAAACAGG
RNAcentral lists this ribosomal RNA (253 nucleotides) under uncultured bacterium. RNAcentral's name for it is "partial 16S ribosomal RNA". It matches the Rfam family "Bacterial small subunit ribosomal RNA", at positions 524 to 776 of the family's 1533-position model. The record is from RNAcentral.